Molecule: RNA transcript, 2206 nt
Organism: Nomascus leucogenys (northern white-cheeked gibbon)
Lineage: Eukaryota; Metazoa; Chordata; Mammalia; Primates; Hylobatidae
Gene name: rho GTPase-activating protein 5 pseudogene
Exons: 1
Source: RefSeq, a predicted model, not a curated record
UCUGAUGAGAUUUAUGUUGUCCCAGAUGAUAGUCAAAAUCGCAUUAAAAUUCGAAACUCAUUUGUAAAUAAUACCCAAGGAGAUGAAGAAAAUGGAUUUUCUGAUAGAACCUCAAAAAGUCAUGGGGAAUGGAGGCCUUCAAAAUACAAAUAUAAAUCUAAAACCUUGUUUAGUAAAGCCAAGUCAUACUAUAGAAGAACACAUUCAGAUGCCAGUGAUGAUGAGGCUUUCACCACUUCUAAAACAAAAAGAAAAGGAAGACAUCGUGGAAGUGAAGAAGAUCCACUUCUUUCUCCUGUUGAAACUUGGAAAGGUGGUAUUGAUAAUCCUGCAAUCACUUCUGACCAGGAGUUAGAUGAUAAGAAGAUGAAGAAGAAAACCCACAAAGUGAAAGAAGAUAAAAAGCAGAAAAAGAAAACUAAGAACUUCAAUCCACCAACACGUAGAAAUUGGGAAAGUAAUUACUUUGGGAUGCCCCUCCAGGAUCUGGUUACAGCUGAGAAGCUCGUACCACUACUUGUUGAGAAAUGUGUGGAAUUUAUUGAAGAUACAGGGUUAUGUACCGAAGGACUCUACCAUGUCAGUGGGAACAAAACUGACCAAGACAAUAUUCAAAAGCAGUUUGAUCAAGAUCAUAAUAUCAAUCUAGUGUCAACGGAAGUAACAGUAAAUGCUGUAGCUGGAGCCCUUAAAGCUUUCUUUGCAGAUCUGCCAGAUCCUUUAACUCCAUAUUCUCUUCAUCCGGAACUAUUGGAAGCAGCAAAAAUCUCGGAUAAAACAGAACGUCUUCAUGCCUUGAAAGAAAUUGUUAAGAAAUUUCAUCCUGUAAACUAUGAUGUGUUCAGAUAUGUGAUAACACAUCUAAACAGGGUUAGUCAGCAAAAUAAAAUCAACCUAAUGACAGCAGACAACUUAUCCGUUUUUGGCCAACCUUGAUGAGAGCUGAUUUUGAAAAUCGAGAGUUUCUGUCUACUACUAAGAUUCAUCAAUCUGUUGUUGAAACAUUCAUUCAGCAGUGUCAGUUUUUCUUUUACAAUGGGGAAAUUGUAGAAAUGACGAACAUUGUGGCUCCUCCACCACCUUCAAACCCAGGACAGUUGGUGGAACCAAUGGUACCACUUCAGUUGCUGCCACCAUUGCAACCUCAGCUGAUACAACCACAAUUACAAACGGAUCCUCUUGGUAUUAUAUGAGUAGGAAGUGAUUGCAAACAGGCUGGAUUUGGACAAAAAGCAAAUCUAGACAUGCAUGUUUCAGGGUUCAGUAGUAUACUUCAUGUUUCAUACAGAUAAUUCACAUUCAAAAUUACAUUUUCUCUUUGAACUAGAUGGUAUUCCUUAUUCACUUACAUUACAAAUCUAAGACCAUGUGAUAAGCAUGACUGGAGAGGUUUAAUUUUUAUAAACAAAAAUAGCUAUAAAGUACAAAGCUGCUGCUGCAUGCAACCUUAUUGCAAUCAGUAUAUCAUUCCUGUGGCAAUUUCUGUCACAUUAUAUUGUGAAUAAAAUUUUUCCAUAGAAAUUAAAUGAUUUAAAAACUCACCUAUAUGAAACAUUUAAUGCUUUUCAGCCUGCCUUCUGGCUGAUUUUGUUAUUUGAUGUGCUAAUUUGGGCAACUUAAUUUACAUUCUGGCAGUCAGUGUAGAUAAGUAAAAGCCCAGUUAAGUAUUUUAUAAUUUCAGGCUACUGAGGCCAUGCUUGGGAUGUUGUUUGAAAGAAAGAAAAAAUAUACUUGACAUAUUUCACAUUUCUGUACCUUCAUCUUUACUUCCAAGUAAACCUGUGGAUGAUUUGAUGAGGGAUAAAUGAACCUAUUUCUUUUACACACAUACCAAGGACAUGCUUGUGGCUAAAGUGAGUUGAUAUUGUUGUGCAAAGGAUAGUUGUCACCAACUCAUUUCUUUAUGGUCCAUAAUGAAAUAAAAAUUUUGUAUACUGUUAAUUCUGUAAACAGAUGCAUGUUCAAAAGAUCUAUGAUGGUCUUGUAAUCUUAAUCUAAUAUAUUUUAGAUAUUUUAAUUUUUUCCCUCUUGGGGAACACAUUUAGUAUAGUGUAGAAAAUACUUCAUGACAUUUUCAUAUAAGGUUAUAUAACUUUUCAUACAUAAACAUGAAAUUUGUUGUAGAAAAUUCUUUAAACCAAACAUUUAAAUCUAGGACUUCAAUUUAAUUUGUUCCUUGAAUCUAUUUUUUUGUGGCCCUUAAAAA